Molecule: long non-coding RNA, 1449 nt
Organism: Homo sapiens (human)
Lineage: Eukaryota; Metazoa; Chordata; Mammalia; Primates; Hominidae
Product: long independently transcribed non-coding RNA 3153
Exons: 4
Source: RefSeq, a predicted model, not a curated record
GUAAGAAGAUCAAGGCCUCUGCGGUUCUGUAGGGUAACUGCUGCUAGAGAGCCUAAUUGAUUUUGGAGUGCCGCCGGGUUAGAGUCUCCGCGACUGAGCUGGUCUCGGCAAGCGGUGCCCAACAUGGGGGCUCACAUCCGGGUCAAAGGGUCGCCGGAGCGACAGUUGGAGAACGUGAAACUAAACUGGAGGACACCCGAGUACUCUUAAGCAAUCCCCGUGCAGAGCCAGGAGAGCGUAUAGCACAGCUCCUGAUUGUGCCGUGAGAGUGGACAGGGCGAUGGCAGGUUCGCCGGGUGUGAGGCUUCACAGCGGUCCAGGGACCAAGUCGAGAUGGUGAAAACAAGACCAAGAUUGGAAAGCCAGCUUCAGAGGAGGGAAUUACAGCAAAAAUUGAACCAUUGACAGAAGAGUCUAGCAGUCUCAGAGAGAAUGUUCUCCAGGAUUCUGAAGGCAGAGAAUUCUGUGAAUUUGGGGAUAAAUUAAAUGAAAAAGAUCAGAACGCCUUUAAAAGGAGACCUCAAAACUGUGACAAAUAUGGGCAAAGCUUUGUUUGGAGUACAAGCCUUUUUAGGCAUCGAAGAACCCAUGGUGAGAAAGCUUAUGAAUGUGACAGGAGUGACUGGUGAGACAGUCAGCUACAAAAUGGAAAAAAACAAAUAUGACAAAAUGCCAAGGGGCCUAACACCACGGAAGCAAUAAGGGCUGCAGGAAAUGAAAAGAGAGAUAUCUGAGGUGGUAUUAAAGGUAGUGAAAGAGAUGGGUCGGUAUGUGAUGAAGAUCCUUUUCUUUAGAAAAGAAUUCUUCUCACAGUCACGUGGUCACAGGAUUGUUACUUUAGAAUCCCUUCCAACAUGUCUGGACCACAUUAGCCAGGAAAAAGAACUUUAACAUAGAGGACACAAACACAGGGCGUGCAGUAGCGCCAGAAUCUUUGUAUAGGAGGCUCAGAGGAGCAGCAAGAUCGAAACAGACACCCAGGGCGGGGCGCAGUGGCUCACGCCUGUAAUCCCAAGCACUUUAGGAGGCUGAGGUGGGUGGAUCACUUGAGGUCAGGAGUUUGAGACCAGCCUGGCCAACAUGGUGAAACACUGUUUCUACUAAAAAUACAAAAAUUAGCUGGGGGUGGUGGUGGGUGCCUGUAAUCCCAGCUACUCGAGAGGCUGAGGUGGGAGAAUCACUUGAACCCAGGAGGUGAAGGUUGCAGUGAGCCUGAAUCGUGGCACUGCACUCCAGCCUGGGCAACAGAACAAGACUCCGUCUCAAAAGAAGAAAGAAAGAAAAAGAGAGAAAAAAAGAAAGAGAGAGAGACAGAGAAAGAGAAAGACCCAGAACGCUUGCCUUACAACUCUAUGCUUAAUAAUCUGUAUCUGGCCAGGCGGGAUGGCUCAUGCCUGCAACCCCAGCACUUUGGAAGGCCAAGGCAGGUGGAUCAUCUGAGGUCAGGGG